GACGAACGCUGGCGGCGUGCUUAACACAUGCAAGUCGAACGGAAAGGCCCUGCUUUUGUGGGGUGCUCGAGUGGCGAACGGGUGAGUAACACGUGAGUAACCUGCCCUUGACUUUGGGAUAACUUCAGGAAACUGGGGCUAAUACCGGAUAGGAGCUCCUGCUGCAUGGUGGGGGUUGGAAAGUUUCGGCGGUUGGGGAUGGACUCGCGGCUUAUCAGCUUGUUGGUGGGGUAGUGGCUUACCAAGGCUUUGACGGGUAGCCGGCCUGAGAGGGUGACCGGCCACAUUGGGACUGAGAUACGGCCCAGACUCCUACGGGAGGCAGCAGUGGGGAAUAUUGCACAAUGGGCGGAAGCCUGAUGCAGCAACGCCGCGUGCGGGAUGACGGCCUUCGGGUUGUGAAUCGCUUUCGCCUGUGACGAAGCGUGAGUGACGGUAAUGGGUAAAGAAGCACCGGCUAACUACGUG
Molecule: ribosomal RNA, 468 nt
Filed under: uncultured bacterium
Lineage: Bacteria
Description: partial 16S ribosomal RNA
Rfam family: Bacterial small subunit ribosomal RNA
Source: RNAcentral